This 527-nucleotide ribosomal RNA is filed under the name uncultured Clostridium sp. RNAcentral describes it as "bacterial SSU rRNA". It matches the Rfam family "Bacterial small subunit ribosomal RNA", at positions 267 to 817 of the family's 1533-position model. Lineage: Bacteria; Bacillati; Bacillota; Clostridia; Eubacteriales; Clostridiaceae. The record is from RNAcentral.
ACCAAGGCGACGAUCAGUAGCCGACCUGAGAGGGUGAUCGGCCACACUGGAACUGAGACACGGUCCAGACUCCUACGGGAGGCAGCAGUGGGGAAUAUUGCACAAUGGGCGAAAGCCUGAUGCAGCAACGCCGCGUGAGCGAUGAAGGCCUUCGGGUCGUAAAGCUCUGUCCUCAAGGAAGAUAAUGACGGUACUUGAGGAGGAAGCCCCGGCUAACUACGUGCCAGCAGCCGCGGUAAUACGUAGGGGGCUAGCGUUAUCCGGAAUUACUGGGCGUAAAGGGUGCGUAGGCGGUCUUUCAAGCCAGAAGUGAAAGGCUACGGCUCAACCGUAGUAAGUUUUUGGAACUGUAGGACUUGAGUGCAGGAGAGGAGAGUAGAAUUCCUAGUGUAGCGGUGAAAUGCGUAGAUAUUAGGAGGAAUACCAGUAGCGAAGGCGGCUCUCUGGACUGUAACUGACGCUGAGAAAGCGUGGGGAGCAAACAGGAUUAGAUACCCUGGUAGUCCACGCCGUAAACGAUGAGUACU